GUGGGGAAUAUUGGACAAUGGGCGAAAGCCUGAUCCAGCCAUGCCGCGUGUGUGAAGAAGGUCUUCGGAUUGUAAAGCACUUUAAGUUGGGAGGAAGGGCAGUAAGUUAAUACCUUGCUGUUUUGACGUUACCGACAGAAUAAGCACCGGCUAACUUCGUGCCAGCAGCCGCGGUAAUACGAAGGGUGCAAGCGUUAAUCGGAAUUACUGGGCGUAAAGCGCGCGUAGGUGGUUCAGCAAGUUGGAGGUGAAAUACCCGGGCUCAACCUGGGAACUGCCUCCAAAACUACUGAGCUAGAGUACGGUAGAGGGUAGUGGAAUUUCCUGUGUAGCGGUGAAAUGCGUAGAUAUAGGAAGGAACACCAGUGACGAAGGCGACUACCUGGACUGAUACUGACACUGAGGUGCGAAAGCGUGGGGAGCAAACAGGAUUAGAUACCCCGGUAGUCC
This 450-nucleotide ribosomal RNA is filed under the name uncultured bacterium. Its description in RNAcentral is "bacterial SSU rRNA". It matches the Rfam family "Bacterial small subunit ribosomal RNA", at positions 354 to 796 of the family's 1533-position model. The record is from RNAcentral.